Molecule: microRNA precursor, 61 nt
Filed under: Brachionus plicatilis
Lineage: Eukaryota; Metazoa; Rotifera; Eurotatoria; Ploima; Brachionidae
Description: Bpl-Mir-12_pre stem-loop
Source: RNAcentral
UGAGUAUUACAUCAGGUAUUGAAUGGUUUUUCAAUUUUCAGUAUCUAUGUAAAUACUCACU